AUUGAACGCUGGCGGCAGGCUUAACACAUGCAAGUCGAGCGGGGUGAUGGUGCUUGCACUAUCACUUAGCGGCGGACGGGUGAGUAAUGCUUAGGAAUCUGCCUAUUAGUGGGGGACAACAUCUCGAAGGGGAUGCUAAUACCGCAUACGUCCUACGGGAGAAAGCAGGGGAUCACUUGUGACCUUGCGCUAAUAGAUGAGCCUAAGUCGGAUUAGCUAGUUGGUGGGGUAAAGGCCUACCAAGGCGACGAUCUGUAGCGGGUCUGAGAGGAGGAUCCGCCACACGGGGACUGAGACACGGCCCAGACUCCUACGGGAGGCAGCAGUGGGGAAUAUUGGACAAUGGGGGGAACCCUGAUCCAGCCAUGCCGCGUGCGUGAAGAAGGCCUUAUGGUUGUAAAGCACUUUAAGCGAGGAGGAGGCUUACCUAGUUAAUACCUGGGAUAAGUGGACGUUACUCGCAGAAUAAGCACCGGCUAACUCUGUGCCAGCCGCCGCCGUAA
RNAcentral lists this ribosomal RNA (503 nucleotides) under uncultured bacterium. RNAcentral describes it as "partial 16S ribosomal RNA". It matches the Rfam family "Bacterial small subunit ribosomal RNA", at positions 30 to 523 of the family's 1533-position model. The record is from RNAcentral.